GGACUACAGGGGUAUCUAAUCCUGUUUGCUACCCACGCUUUCGUGUCUCAGCGUCAGUGAUGGUCCAGUAAGCUGUCUACACCACAGGUGUUCCUCCUGAUAUCUACGCAUUUCACCGCUACACCAGGAAUUCCGCUUACCUCUCCCAUACUCAAGCCCACCAGUUUUCAACGCACCCUCCCGGUUAAGCCGGGAGAUUUCACGUCGAACUUAGUGAACCGCCUACACACCCUUUACGCCCAGUAACUCCGAACAACGCUUGCUGCCUACGUAUUACCGCGGCUGCUGGCAC
Molecule: ribosomal RNA, 292 nt
Filed under: uncultured Acidobacteriota bacterium
Lineage: Bacteria; Pseudomonadati; Acidobacteriota
Description: uncultured Acidobacteria bacterium partial 16S ribosomal RNA
Source: RNAcentral